RNAcentral lists this ribosomal RNA (497 nucleotides) under uncultured bacterium. Its description in RNAcentral is "partial 16S ribosomal RNA". It matches the Rfam family "Bacterial small subunit ribosomal RNA", at positions 28 to 507 of the family's 1533-position model. The record is from RNAcentral.
GAUGAACGCUGGCGGCGUGCCUAAUACAUGCAAGUCGAGCGAACAGAUGAGGAGCCUGCUCCUCUGACGUUAGCGGCGGACGGGUGAGUAACACGUGGAUAACCUACCUAUAAGACUGGGAUAACUUCGGGAAACCGGAGCUAAUACCGGAUAAUAUAUUGAACCGCAUGGUUCAAUAGUGAAAGACGGUUUUGCUGUCACUUAUAGGUGGAUCCGCGCCGCAUUAGCUAGUUGGUAAGGUAACGGCUUACCAAGGCAACGAUGCGUAGCCGACCUGAGAGGGUGAUCGGCCACACUGGAACUGAGACACGGUCCAGACUCCUACGGGAGGCAGCAGUAGGGAAUCUUCCGCAAUGGGCGAAAGCCUGACGGAGCAACGCCGCGUGAGUGAUGAAGGUCUUCGGAUCGUAAAACUCUGUUAUUAGGGAAGAACAAAUGUGUAAGUAACUAUGCACGUCUUGACGGUACCUAAUCAGAAAGCCACGGCUAACUACGUG